RNAcentral lists this ribosomal RNA (497 nucleotides) under uncultured bacterium. RNAcentral's name for it is "partial 16S ribosomal RNA". It matches the Rfam family "Bacterial small subunit ribosomal RNA", at positions 28 to 507 of the family's 1533-position model. The record is from RNAcentral.
GAUGAACGCUGGCGGCGUGCCUAAUACAUGCAAGUCGAGCGAACGGACGAGAAGCUUGCUUCUCUGAUGUUAGCGGCGGACGGGUGAGUAACACGUGGAUAACCUACCUAUAAGACUGGGAUAACUUCGGGAAACCGUAGCUAAUACCGGAUAAUAUUUUGAACCGCAUGGUUCAAAAGUGAAAGACGGUCUUGCUGUCACUUAUAGAUGGAUCCGCGCUGCAUUAGCUAGUUGGUAAGGUAACGGCUUACCAAGGCAACGAUGCAUAGCUGACCUGAGAGGGUGAUCGGCCACACUGGAACUGAGACACGGUCCAGACUCCUACGGGAGGCAGCAGUAGGGAAUCUUCCGCAAUGGGCGAAAGCCUGACGGAGCAACGCCGCGGGAGUGAUGAAGGUCUUCGGAUCGUAAACCUCUGUUAUUAGGGAAGAACAUAUGUGUAAGGAACUGGGCACAUCUUGACGGUACCUAAUCAGAAAGCCACGGCUAACUACGUG